UAAGGUAGCGAAAUUCCUUGUCGGGUAAGUUCCGACCUGCACGAAUGGUGUAACGAUCUGGGCACUGUCUCAGCCAUGAGCUCGGUGAAAUUGUAGUAUCGGUGAAGAUGCCGAUUACCCGCAACGGGACGAAAAGACCCCGUGAACCUUUACUGUAACUUGGCAUUGGGUUUCGAUUAACGAUGCGUAGGAUAGGUGGGAGAUUUUGAUCCGUGCGUUCUGGCGUACGGGGAGUCAUCCUUGAAAUACCACCCUUGGCCGUUUAGAUGUCUAACCUGCGUCGGAUAGCCCGGCGGGGGACAGUGUCUGGUGGGUAGUUUGACUGGGGCGGUCUCCUCCCAAAGAGUAACGGAGGAGCACGAAGGUUGGCUAAUCAUGGUCGGAAAUCAUGAGGUUAGUGUAAUGGCACAAGCCAGCUUGACUGCGAGACGUACAUGUCGAGCAGGUACGAAAGUAGGUCAUAGUGAUCCGGUGGUUCUGAAUGGAAGGGCCAUCGCUCAACGGAUAAAAGGUACUCCGGGGAUAACAGGCUUAUCUCCCCCAAGAGUUCACAUCGACGGGGAGGUUUG
RNAcentral lists this ribosomal RNA (569 nucleotides) under Alexandrium tamarense. RNAcentral's name for it is "partial Bacterial large subunit ribosomal RNA". It matches the Rfam family "Bacterial large subunit ribosomal RNA", at positions 1952 to 2520 of the family's 2925-position model. Lineage: Eukaryota; Dinophyceae; Gonyaulacales; Pyrocystaceae. The record is from RNAcentral.